UCCAGAAUAUAUUCAACCUGUCUACGUUUGUUGAUUCAGCAGGGACAAAGCGAAAACUGAGCUCGGAUCAGCAUAUUGGCUCUAAUAUACUGGUUAAAUAUGAGCUCAGCAGGUCCCAGAGCAAAGCUUUGAUUAAAUCAGCGUCCACAGAGAGGCUGUGUUUUCACACAAAUCUGAUUUCUUCCCUCCAACUCCUUUUUCCGCAUCGCCGGGGCAAGAAACCCACCAAAAUUGUGAGAAGAUUAUCUCAAACCUCAUUCCUAAACAAAACUCCGCUCGAAAAGUUCAAAUCUCAAGAGGAAAGCUGCUCGAAAAGGCUUCCAAGACAUAUGAGAAAAAUGACGACCGUGGAUCUAACUCCGUCUAAACUCAAUAUAAAUUCUUAUUUUAGAAAAACUGAUGAACAACGCGUUCUUCAACACGGCGUCUGUCACGUGACGCCACGUACGAAAUGUACUAUAAUUCUCCGGCAGAGCGGAACAAUGACAUAUUUACGUUUUAUUUCCAACGAUGGAGUAAUAAUUUGUUUCCUUUUACAGUCUGAAAUCUCUCUGUACUGUCACUAAACUGUCUUGUUACAUAUAUCAAAACUAGAUCUUAGACUAAUGGUACUUCAGACUUGACAGAAAUGGUUUUAAAUUGCUGUGUAACGCAAUUUGCGAGUACUUAAGGUUAGGAACCGCGAAACACGUUCUCGGUCUGACAGAACAAGAAAAUGUCUACUCUGCCUUCCAUUAGGACGAACAGAAGAAACCGCUUUCAAUGGAGCUGUCAGUCAAAAUCCAUCUGCAAAGGGUAUUAUGAACAUAAUCAGUUCUGAGGUUGUUCCACUAAAUGUUAUGUCAAGUUGUGUUUGACUGACCAUCAAGCAACUGCAGAGUCACGGCCCGGUCCACAUAUUCCCACCAGUGUUUCCCAUCUGAAGAAACAGGAAUCUCCCAGUUGGACCACUUGCAGGCCAGGUGAAUACAGACACAUGCCACCACUGUGGGUUUGUGCUGCAGGCAGAAGGUGGUCAGGUGCAGACUGCAAGAGAGAAAAGAAAAGAGAAAAGACAAAACACUUAAUUACAAACAGAGGACACAAGAAAUGCUUCCCUAAGAACCUAAUUCAAUAAAUACUUCAGUUCAUUUCCAUUCUUCUUAGUUCAUCAUAAUAAUCAGGAUUAUUUCAUGUCAAAGCUGAUCAUAGUCCAGUCGGAUGCAUGUUUGCUAGAAUGUUGUUUGUCUGGUCAGCUGUAAAACAAAAUGGUAUGCAUGAAACAGAUUCAGUCAACAAAACAAAAUAUAACUUAAUUGACACUUAAAGUGUGGCAUCAAAUGCACAACACUCAACUGGUAGAGCAUGACACCAGCAAGUGUUUUCCACUCAAAAGCUUCAUUUACAACCUCAGUGAGUGGGCAUUAACAGCAACUCAACUUCCUGCUUGAAUGACCAAACCAGCGCAAAGUCAUCUGACUGGCUUGAAAUGAUCUUUUAUGCCUCGUUUCCACCGAGCGGUUCAGUACAGUACAGUUCAGUAUGGUAUGCAAUUUUUGCUGUUUCUAUUGUCAGAAGUUGUGAAUGGUACCAUAAUUCCAAACCGCCGCACUUUGUUGGGACCCUUCCGUUGGGGUACCUAGCACAGUAGUCCGGUACUACAGGGUAGAGCUAGACUCACUGCAGAAUGUUGACUGGUUGACAGAGAAUCGUCACUUACGCAUGCUACAAGGGUAAUGACAACACAAGAUGCGCUAUUUUUUAAUAAAGUUCAUACACAAUACCAUUUCUUCUUGUGACAAACAGCCACAUAUCGAGAAGCUAUUAACAAGAUCUGCUGUGUAUCCUUCGUUGUUGUUUACCGUGUCGCUUUCUUCUUCGCACGAGAAUGACAUCGUAAGGGUAUGUUGGUUGUGGAAACGCAAGCCAGAUCAGAGUUUACCGUCCCGAGUUGUACUCAACUGUACUGUACCGCUCAGUGGAAACGAGGCAUAAGACACAUUUCCAUUUAAAUCAAUUACCAGGCGCUUUUAUCCAAAGCGACUUAUAAAUGAGAACAAUAGAAGCAAUCAAACCAACAACAGUGCAACAAUAUGCAAGUGCUAUGACUAGUUAGUCUAGCACAGUACACAUAGCAAGGUUUUUAUAUAUAAUUAUAUAUAUAUAUAUAUAUAUAUAUAUAUAUAUAUAUAUAUAUAUAUAUAUAUAUAUAUAGAGAGAGAGAGA
Long non-coding RNA from Ctenopharyngodon idella (grass carp), 2205 nucleotides. RefSeq lists it as uncharacterized. The record is from RefSeq and is a predicted model, not a curated record. The transcript has 2 exons. NCBI's taxonomy places the organism in Eukaryota, Metazoa, Chordata, Actinopteri, Cypriniformes, Xenocyprididae.